RNAcentral lists this ribosomal RNA (253 nucleotides) under uncultured bacterium. Its description in RNAcentral is "partial 16S ribosomal RNA". It matches the Rfam family "Bacterial small subunit ribosomal RNA", at positions 524 to 776 of the family's 1533-position model. The record is from RNAcentral.
UACGGAGGAUGCAAGCGUUAUCCGGAAUGAUUGGGCGUAAAGGGUCCGCAGGUGGCAGUGUAAGUCUGCUGUCAAAGAAUGAGGCUUAACCUCAUCAAGGCAGUGGAAACUACACAGCUAGAGUACGGUCGGGGUAGAAGGAAUUCCUGGUGUAGCGGUGAAAUGCGUAGAGAUCAGGAAGAACACCGGUGGCGAAAGCGGACUUCUGGACGAGGACUGACGCUGAGAUGCGAAAGCGUGGGGAGCAAACAGG